This 460-nucleotide ribosomal RNA is filed under the name uncultured bacterium. Its description in RNAcentral is "partial 16S ribosomal RNA". It matches the Rfam family "Bacterial small subunit ribosomal RNA", at positions 338 to 795 of the family's 1533-position model. The record is from RNAcentral.
CCUACGGGUGGCAGCAGUGAGGAAUAUUGGUCAAUGGCCGCGAGCCUGAACCAGCCAAGUCGCGUGAAGGAUGACUGCCCUAAGGGUUGUAAACUUCUUUUGUAAAGGGAUAAAAUGAGGCUCGUGUGCCUUUUUGUAUGUACUUUAUGAAUAAGCAUCGGCUAACUCCGUGCCAGCAGCCGCGGUAAUACGGAGGAUCCGAGCGUUAUCCGGAUUUAUUGGGUUUAAAGGGAGCGUAGGUGGGUUGUUAAGUCAGGUGUGAAAGUUUGCGGCUCAACCGUAAAAUUGCAAUUGAUACUGGCAGUCUUGAGUACAGGUGAGGUAGGCGGAAUGCGUAGUGUAGCGGUGAAAUGCUUAGAUAUUACGAAGAACUCCGAUUGCGAAGGCAGCUUACUAAACUGCCACUGACACUGAGGCUCGAAAGUGUGGGUAUCAAACAGGAUUAGAUACCCGGGUAGUC